CAUGGAGUAGUUUAAUAAAAAUCCCACUUUUGGGGAGCGGUGAUCUUCAUUUAUGAAGCUCCUUGA
RNAcentral lists this transfer RNA (66 nucleotides) under Ancyrocephalus mogurndae. RNAcentral's name for it is "tRNA-Pro". The record is from RNAcentral. Lineage: Eukaryota; Metazoa; Platyhelminthes; Monogenea; Dactylogyridea; Ancyrocephalidae.